GGGGAUGUGGCUCAAGCGGUAGAGCGCUCGCCUGGCAUGCGCGGGGUGCUGGGUUUGAUCCUCAGCACCACA
This 72-nucleotide transfer RNA is filed under the name Marmota monax (woodchuck). RNAcentral's name for it is "tRNA.Ala". Lineage: Eukaryota; Metazoa; Chordata; Mammalia; Rodentia; Sciuridae. The record is from RNAcentral.